This 104-nucleotide microRNA precursor is filed under the name Marmota monax (woodchuck). Lineage: Eukaryota; Metazoa; Chordata; Mammalia; Rodentia; Sciuridae. The record is from RNAcentral.
AAUGGGAUAGCUGGGUCAAAUGGUGGUUCCAUUCCAAGUUUUCUGAAUGGAACCACUAUUUGCUUUCCAGAGUGGUUGUACCAAUUUGCAGUCCCACCAGCAAU